Molecule: long non-coding RNA, 5303 nt
Organism: Topomyia yanbarensis
Lineage: Eukaryota; Metazoa; Arthropoda; Insecta; Diptera; Culicidae
Exons: 7
Source: RefSeq, a predicted model, not a curated record
GCGGUUAAAGCCCUGGUCAGUAUGCCGCAGUGGAGUUUCGGAAAAUGUAGGAGAUUUUUCGAAAUCACUGGGCACGGUUGUUCUAGAACCGCCUAUGUUUGGUGACACGUUUGUAGAUUUCUCCAAUAAUUGCGAUGCUAUCGUAUUUUUUCUCUUAUCCAACUUGUCGAAAUUGGCAGGGCGGGCUCAGGACCAACGAAGUCAAUCACUGCACCUGCCUUGGCCCAUUCGUCAGCCCAUUCAUUUUAAGUAAUACCGGAAUGUCCGGGCACCCAGACAAAGUAGAUCGUUUUGACAAUGCUUAGUUCUUCGAUUUAGGUUCGGCAUGCGAUCACUAGCUUGGACCCUCCGUGAAAAAUUUAGUUGUCAUCGUCUUUCAAUUGUAAAUUUUCGAUAUUUUGGAUCAUUUGUGGUUGUCCCGAUUAAAUAAUAGAACCUGCAAUUCCAAAUCCGGUUUCAUCGUAGUACGAUUCGCUUCAUAGCACGAAGUCAAGCGAAAGGUGCGUUCCGGUCAUCAAAUUGAGUUGCAGAGAGAGAAAGUGACGUGCAGCCCAUUACACUUCCGGAAGCGACGUAGGACGUGUUUUUGUCAGUACAUAGGAUAUAGAAAGGAUCUUCACAUACUGGGUACCGGUGAGACCGUUUCAUGAACCAUUUCCAAGUAUUUUAAAUAUCAUUGCAAUAUUGCCUGUAUUAAGCAAUAACAUUUUUCAGAGAUUCGUAUGAUAUGAAUUUAUAUAAUCUCCAGCUCACAUUUUUUCGCCUUUUGAUAUGUCCGUCACCUAUGAAAACUGUUUCGGUUCCGAGCGUUUACCUUAAGUAGAUGAUAGGACUAUUAUGAAAUAGAAACGCUUGUAAGGAUGUGGCCAGGUGUGUGGAGAUGAGGGGGUCUACGUCAUUGUAGAUCGUAGCCAAGUUUGAUAUGGCAAUGGAUAUGCUCAAUUCUGCAACUCCAUCUAUGAUUUGUGCAGGUGUUCGUGCUAUGCUAUGCAUGCGAUCACUAGCUUGGACCGUGAUUCGUCUGAGCUAAAAGCUUUGAUUGCAGCCUGACUAUCGGAUCAGAAGUUUAUAACUUUAUCGGACCUCAGUAUCUACCUAGCGAGUGAAAUUGUUCCAAUCUCAUUUCACGACAGUAGACACCAGCACCAGCACGUCCCUCCAUAGGAGAACCGUCAGUGUAAAAGACCACUUGCGUUUGUUGCUAUCUCUCCAUAUAGCCAGACAACCACUCCUCUCGAGAGGAGAUGGUUUAGCUUUGGCUGGACUAUCAUCGCCUCUCCCCUCUGCCACCACACAAGGCAUCCGUAUGACAGUAUUGGGCAUACAAUUGUCGUGUAAAUCCAAUAGAUGUAUUUAGGUUUGUGACUCCAGGUCUUUCUAAAAGGUCGUCUGCACUGCCCGAAGGUCAUGCACACUUUCUGGACUCUGAACUCAAUGUGAGCAGACCAAUUAAGUUUGGAAUCCAAUAUAACUCCAACGUAUAUGACUUGAUCUGCACACUAGCUCAGAAUCAAAGAACUGCAAGGAAAGAACCCCGGUUGUUAUUCGCUUCUUCGUGAAAAGAACCAAUGAAGUUUUGUUUGGAUUUAUUGAUAAUUUAAUUUGUCGACACCACUGUUCGACAGCUCUUAAUGCUUGUUGCAUUAUGUCAAAGAUUGUUACGAUGCAAAGUUUAGUAAUUAGUAUUUGGUAAUCAUCAGCAAUCUCGUAGGUUGGAAAUCCAACCUCAUUGAGUUUCUUCAACAAGCCGUCGGCAACCAGGUUCCAUAGCACAGGUGACAGAACGCCACCCUGAGGACAGCCGCAAAUACUCAAUUUCCUUAUCUCUGCCUGUCUCAGUAGCGCGAGCUUAUCAUUUACUAGUAAACAAGGACAACAAAAAGAUAAAUAAGGCAUAUGAAUUAACGCUAACAUGAAAAAACACCGCGAAAGUUAGAGGAAUUCAAAGUACGGUCACUGAAGAGGAACUCCGACCGCCACUCACCCCAGUUGGUCUGGGUUCAAUCCCAGCCGAGGUCGUUAAGAUUUUUCUGAAGUGAAAAAAAUCUGUGGUCACGCCUUCCUUCGGAAGGGAAGUAAAGCCGUUGGUUUCCGGUCCUUUAGUUAAUGGAUCCAUAUCUAGUCCAGAUAGUGGGAGUCACCUCUCUUGGCGUCGGUGUUCGGGCUUGUAGCGGCAAUAGGCCGACGGAAAAUAACUAGAACUAGAAGAAGAAGAGGAACUCCGAGGCUAGAUAGAGAACCUGCGAACGACCACCUCCGCCUCGAUUCUGAAAAUGGUCUGUCACACGCGGCACAAACCCUGCAACAUAAACGCCCUCAGAGUAGUACUAGCAUACUGCCUAUCCUGGACAGUUCCAAGGAACAAUCGGGUCAUCAGCUCCCAAGAUACUUUGAAAGCAACAUCGAUCUCAUUUCAGUAAACGGGCUAGAAAUCAUCAGCCGAACAAUACACAGUAAUUUAAAAUAAAACAACCGAUGAGGCCUGCCUACAAAGUGAAUGUUGUUUGUGCAGUUCGAAGAUGUUUACAGUCACAUUGAAUUUAGUAAAAAAAUUUGCGAAGUGAAAGUUAUAUCGGUUAGGUUUGAGGUAAUUUUAUUCACAGUACAAACUAGUAUUCAAAUUGCAAUCAUAAUUUAUUAUCAGACAUGCACGUCUCUUACGUAUGUUUAUCCGGUGCGAGGAUGUGUCGUCUUGAACACGCGUAUCGUAUGGUAAAAUGUAUGUAACCUAAGAAUACUACUAUUAUGAUCUGCGUCGGAAUCUAUCAUCGUCGUCAGCUCAUGCACAAGUAAUUUUGGCAAGAUGUACAACGUAAGCAACGUAAUGAGUCUUAGACAUACUAUUUCGAGACACUUUGUUGUGAAUAUUGUUUUUGAAACUUAUUGUUCUCGUUAUAUAGAAGUUUCCGAACAAUCAGGAUUCUAAUUAAAUUAUUUAUCUUUUUGUUUUGCUGGUCAGAAUGGCGACGGCUCACUAGAACAAGUGAAACCGCAGUGCGAUGAGCUCGAAUUGGACAAUGAAACCGAAAAUUAGAAUGAACAGAACAAGGUUAUGCCCAAGAUCAAUAUAAUACGGUAUAGAAUCAACUCUAUUCUCGCCCCAUCAAUUGGGCUACAGAUAUUCGACGAUGCGAUCAUUUUACUUGACGCAGGCGUAAGCCAUGCACCGAUCGGUGAUAUGAAACGUUUCGAUUGUAAAUCUUGGUCGUUUAACGUAAAAUGGUAUGGAAUUGAUUCGAUCCCCUUACCAUCUACUAUACUAAAAGUAUGUGCUUGAACCGCUACGAGUUGAAUAAGACCUAUUGCCGAUUCGAAAGAUCAUGUUGAAUCAGGUGCGAUGCUUUGCGCAACAAAACAUUACGCCAAGUUCCGUAAAAUGGAUAAUGCCAAAAAAAACAAAGUUUAUCCCUGCCGUUAUUAGCGAGAUUAACAGAAAAUUUACCAGAAAGCAACAUUCAUCACAGAUCCAGUGUAAAUCGGAUCGAGUGACUAUUAAUACGUCGCAGUAUGGAUCGUAUAGAUUCGUCAAUUAAUGCGAAUCCGCACCCGCAAGGCAAGUAUACAUUGAUUGGCAUCGAUAUUUAUACGAUUGGUCUCAGUUUACACACCGGUGCAGCAGUACUCGCUGUAUAUUAUACCACUGGUGAAACUGAAUUCGCUUGCGCCACCACUGUCGGUUGUUUCCGAAUGCUGAAAAUCCUAUUAUAGGGAGGUAUCGGCUCUAAACGGAAUCACGAGGAGCACAAAUUCGUAUCUGUUAGAAAUCAACUCUAUCCUCGUCUCACCACCUAAGCCAAGUAAUCGACGCAUCAGUCAUUUUACUAGACGCAAAUGUAGAUUGCAAAUCUGUCGAAUCGGUGGAUGCCUUUUCUACGCGGUAUGUUGGUACGGUCUGGGUGCAACAUCAUUGGUAGUCAGUGGGGGUUUAGUGGAUACGUAAGAAAACCCCCAUUUCACAAUCAAUUUGACUCUCGUGUCACAACUGAAACAAAGUUAUUCGACAAUCCGGUUAUUGGACUUGACACCGAAUGUAAGCCAUUCACUGGUCGACGACAGGAAGUCUCCAUUGCAUACUCGACCAAAUAACGUAAAACUGUAUGUAGUGAACUCGAUCCCCGUACCAUCAAACAGACCAAAGGUAUUUGACGAUCCAGUAGUUCGUUACUGUUAUCGUUGCAAAGAAGCGUGUACAUGCAACGCAGGCAAGAGUCGUAUAACAUUUCAAACAGCACGAUGGUGGACGUUGUUGGUAUUAUGCAGCGGACCAAGUUCGACUUCCGUAUAUGUACCAGCAACCAUCUUCCAGUGAAACGAUAAGCACGGUCGGACGAGAUCUAUUGCCGGUUCGGAAGGUCACGCUUAAUCUAAUCCUGUGCUUUCUGCAGCAAAAAUUACAGCAAAGGACAGUUCCGUAAAAUGGAGAAGAAAAAACAAAUCCCUGCAGCAGAAUUGACAAAGUUUACCAGAAAGCAACAAUUACCACAAAAUAUUGAUGCGUCGCAGUAUCAAUUGACCAGAUUCGCCAAUUCAUACGAAUCCGCUUCCGUAUGGCAAAUAUACAAUGACUUACAUCGAUUUUGAAGAUUGGUCUCAAUAUGCACACCGGAGCAGCAGUAUUCGUAGUGUGCCGCUGAUGAACCUGAAUUCGACUGCGUCACUCGGCUUCUUCCGAAUGCUGAUAAACCUACAAUAUGAUAUUAAACAUCAAGACGGAGGUAUCAUCUCUAAACGAAUUCUUCCACUGGAUGGAAGGAAAACGCUGCGAAGACGAAUGGUCAUCGAGACACUAAAAAGGUAUCAGUUGGACCGGUUUUCUCCAAUGGUCAAAUCGUUUGCCAACGGCUUCCAGCUGGCCGAAGGAAAAGUGAUCCACGACUUUCAAAUAUUUUUCGGUCCGACGACUGAUCCAGUUGUUGCUGGACUAGAGAGCAACGCGGUCUAGUUGACCCGAUUGGUGCAACGACCAGUGACACAAUAUCCGCAACCCCAGAAUAUUGCUGCUGAGAUCUAUUUGGCCUGACAAGGAUGAGCGAUCAGCAUACUACAUAAUAACGUCUCGUUUGUUCUCGGGAAGUGUAUCAUUAUUUAAAAAAAAAAAUAAAAACAGAUUGCAUUAUUUAUUUUAUUUUUUUGAUAAAAAAGAAAACAUCUGAAGUAUAAGAAAAUAAGAAGAAGAGUACCAAAAUAGAGAGCACGACGGCGUCCGAUUCUCCAUAGCUUGACAUCGGAGCUACGUAGCUCUUAUACCGCCUGACGAAUUUGACAACUUCGAAGCCCAACAGUCCGAUUUCGAUGGUGCAAAA